Molecule: ribosomal RNA, 366 nt
Filed under: uncultured bacterium
Lineage: Bacteria
Description: bacterial SSU rRNA
Rfam family: Bacterial small subunit ribosomal RNA
Source: RNAcentral
CCCUGCACUUCGGGAUAAGCCUGGGAAACUGGGUCUAAUACCGGAUAGGACUCCUGGCUUCAUGGUUGGGGUGUAAAGCUUUUGCGGUGUGGGAUGGGCCCGCGGCCUAUCAGCUUGUUGGUGGGUAAUGGCCUACCAAGGCGACGACGGGUAGCCGGCCUGAGAGGGUGACCGGCCACACUGGGACUGAGAUACGGCCCAGACUCCUACGGGAGGCAGCAGUGGGAAUAUUGCACAAAUGGGCGCAAGCCUGAUGCAGCGACGCCGCGUGAGGGAUGACGGCCUUCGGGUUUGUAAACCUACUUUACAAUAGGGACGAAAGCGCAAGUGACGGUACCUAUAGAAGAAGGACCGGCCAACUACGUG